Molecule: small RNA, 106 nt
Filed under: Salmonella enterica
Lineage: Bacteria; Pseudomonadati; Pseudomonadota; Gammaproteobacteria; Enterobacterales; Enterobacteriaceae
Also listed under: 3 other names
Description: partial RtT sRNA
Rfam family: RtT RNA
About the family: This family represents a bacterial cis-regulatory element known as RtT RNA. The exact function of RtT is unknown although it is thought that it may be involved in changing the cellular response in relation to amino acid starvation.
Source: RNAcentral
UAUCUCUCCGUACGGGGAAGGAUGAGAAGCUUCGACUAAGGUUCGAUUCGAGCGCAGCGAGAAAGCGUUGCCGCAGGCAACGACCCGAAGGGCGAAGCGCGCAGCG